CGUACUUGAUUCAAAUGCGAUGUGGGGACGGAGAAGGUUAUGCUGGCAAGCUGUUGGAAUAGCUUGUUUAAGCCGGUAGGUGGAAAGGGUAGGUAAAUCCGCCCUUUUAUUAACACCGAGAAGUGAUGACGAGUAUCUACGGAUAUGAAGCAGCAAAUACCACGCUUCCAGGAAAAGCCACUAAGCUUCAGUUUGAAUCGAACCG
Molecule: ribosomal RNA, 205 nt
Filed under: Kingella denitrificans
Lineage: Bacteria; Pseudomonadati; Pseudomonadota; Betaproteobacteria; Neisseriales; Neisseriaceae
Description: partial 23S ribosomal RNA
Rfam family: Bacterial large subunit ribosomal RNA
Source: RNAcentral